Molecule: long non-coding RNA, 351 nt
Organism: Arabidopsis thaliana (thale cress)
Lineage: Eukaryota; Viridiplantae; Streptophyta; Magnoliopsida; Brassicales; Brassicaceae
Product: other RNA
Exons: 1
Source: RefSeq
GGCUCUCGUAUCACCUAUUCAUUGCAGCAAUGCUAAUUUUUGAAAAACUACAUAAAAAUAUAGUGCUCUUGCUCUAGUCGACAUAAGAAGUUUCAAAAACUGAAUCCAAAAACUAAUUAUGGAGGAUGAAAAAAAAAAAAAAUGGUUUUUGGACACACCUUGGAAAUGGAAUGGCUUUGAAAAAGUUUGAUAGGCAUGGUUGUGGCCAUACGUACGUUUGUGUAUUGAUAAUUUGUUUCCCUUUGUAAACUCUUUGUCUGUGUUCCUCCACGCCACAUACUUCUCUUUGUUUCACAUUCAUUUUUUUUCACUCAAAAAUCAUUUUGUAUAAAGGGUGAUGUUGAUGUGCUG